RNAcentral lists this ribosomal RNA (253 nucleotides) under uncultured bacterium. Its description in RNAcentral is "partial 16S ribosomal RNA". It matches the Rfam family "Bacterial small subunit ribosomal RNA", at positions 524 to 776 of the family's 1533-position model. The record is from RNAcentral.
UACGUAGGUGGCAAGCGUUAUCCGGAUUUACUGGGUGUAAAGGGAGCGUAGACGGCGGUGCAAGCCAGAUGUGAAAGCCCGGGGCUCAACCCCGGGACUGCAUUUGGAACUGUGCUGCUAGAGUGUCGGAGAGGCAGGCGGAAUUCCUAGUGUAGCGGUGAAAUGCGUAGAUAUUAGGAGGAACACCAGUGGCGAAGGCGGCCUGCUGGACGAUGACUGACGUUGAGGCUCGAAAGCGUGGGGAGCAAACAGG